AACGAACGCUGGCGGCAGGCCUAACACAUGCAAGUCGAACGCCGUAGCAAUACGGAGUGGCAGACGGGUGAGUAACACGUGGGAACAUACCCUUCGGUUCGGAAUAACUCAGGGAAACUUGAGCUAAUACCGGAUACGUCCGCGAGGAGAAAGAUUCAUCGCCGGAGGAUUGGCCCGCGUCUGAUUAGCUUGUUGGUGAGGUAACGGCUCACCAAGGCGACGAUCAGUAGCUGGUCUGAGAGGAUGAUCAGCCACAUUGGGACUGAGACACGGCCCAAACUCCUACGGGAGGCAGCAGUGGGGAAUCUUGCGCAAUGGGCGAAAGCCUGACGCAGCCAUGCCGCGUGAAUGAUGAAGGUCUUAGGAUUGUAAAAUUCUUUCACCGGGGAAGAUAAUGACUGUACCCGGAGAAGAAGCUCCGGCUAACUUCGUGCCAGCCG
This 440-nucleotide ribosomal RNA is filed under the name uncultured bacterium. Its description in RNAcentral is "bacterial SSU rRNA". It matches the Rfam family "Bacterial small subunit ribosomal RNA", at positions 29 to 514 of the family's 1533-position model. The record is from RNAcentral.